This 526-nucleotide ribosomal RNA is filed under the name uncultured bacterium. RNAcentral describes it as "bacterial SSU rRNA". It matches the Rfam family "Bacterial small subunit ribosomal RNA", at positions 28 to 531 of the family's 1533-position model. The record is from RNAcentral.
GGCUAACGCUGGCGGCGUGUCUUAGCCAUGCAAGUCGAGCGGACUUAUGGGGGUAACUUAUAAGUCAGCGGCGGACGGCGGAGUAACACGUAGCUAACCUACCCUCUGGACGGGGAUAACCUACCGAAAGGUGGGCUAAUACCCGAUGUAGUCAUCCUGUAUAGGGGUGAUGAAAGGUGGGCUUCUGUUUACAAGCUCAUGCUGGAGGAGGGGGCUGCGGCCUAUCAGGUAGUUGGUAGGGUAAUAGCCUACCAAGCCGAUGACGGGUAGCCGGCCUGAGAGGGUGACCGGCCCGAGGGGCACUGAGAUACGGGUCCCACUCCUACGGGAGGCAGCAGGCUAGAAAUUUGGGCAAUGGGGGAAACCCUGACCCAGUGACGCCGCGUGCAGGAAGGAGCCCUUCGGGGUGUAAACUGCUGUCGUGUAGGGAGAAGGGUACUAAGGUGAACAAUCUUAGUACUUGACGGUACUACAGGAGGAAGCCCAGGCUAACCUCGUGCCAGCAGCCGCGGUAAGAUAGCGUACU